This 1010-nucleotide long non-coding RNA is filed under the name Homo sapiens (human). Its description in RNAcentral is "long intergenic non-protein coding RNA 382". The record is from RNAcentral. Lineage: Eukaryota; Metazoa; Chordata; Mammalia; Primates; Hominidae.
GUACAUUAUGGCUCUCUCCUUGCCUGGAACUGGAUAUGAGAAAUGCUUGAAUUAAGAUCUGUGAAUUAUCUUAUUUUCUUGUCAGAAGGAUGCAGAUUGCCCAUACUUCAUAGCAGAGCAACAGGAGGGACUUAGGGACAAAAAGAGGAAAACGAAGGCAUUACAAAACAAGCAUAUUAAGUAUACGAUUCACAUCCCAACAGCUCAAAGGCAAGGAAGACUGAGGAAGCUAAGUUACUGGCCAUAUGUUUAAUAAAUAUAAGCUUAAUGGCAGUGAAUGUAUUAAUGUCAGCGAAGACAAGUCUAUGAAGUUAAACAGGCACAGAGAGGCUAAGAGUCUUGCCAAAGGCCACAGAGGAAGGAAGAGACUAAAUCUGGAACAAACUUUCUAUUCUCCAUUUCCAGAAGAAACCACUAAACCAUGCUUCCUCUUGUCAUGGAAGCUUAAAAUAUUUGGACUGUCUGUGGAUCCAGGGAGGAAUUUCAGAAGAGCCAGGAUUAGUCAAUCAAAUUAAACUCAAUAUCACCCAAAUAAAGUUGGUCAGAUCAAACUACGUUUAAAUAAGAAUUAAAAUGCCAUUUGUCCAUCACCUAAUGGCUCAAUUUGCUCCUGCCUUGGGUGUGCACACCCUGCUCUGGAACAGACCAGAGCUCUAAAGAAGUGACUGGAAGUUGUGAAUGUCAUUGUUAUGAAGCUUCAAAUUUGCUCUCCUCUUUAGGACACAGACAUGGCAUUAGAGAAGGGCAGAAAACUGCACUUGGCUGUGCAUAGAGAACACUAGAGACCUCUUGUGCAAGAGAGGGGACUAGGUUGCGUAGUGUAAUGAGAGAAGCAUGGGUUUUGAGACCGCUACAAUGUCUGUGUCUUCUUGGCCAACAUUUCAGUAAGAGUAGUAAGCAUAUCUCCACAAUAGGGUUAAGAGAACCAGUGUCUUCUGAAAAACACAUGAAAUCAUCGUAACCCUGCUAAGUCUGUGCUUUGCAAAAAUUAAAACUAAAACUAAUUUUCA